AUGAAAGUGCUCGGAUUAGCAGCCAUUGAGAGGGCAAGAAGAAGGCAAGCCUCUAGGAUUACCUGGCUAAAGGCAGGAGAUGCAAGCACGAAGUUUUUCCACGCAAGAGUGACAGCUAGAAGGAGGAAAAACUACAUUCACUCCCUCAGGGAGGAUGGCGCGGAGGUGUUUGAUCAUGACAGAAAGGAGAGGAUUCUUCAUGACCACUUCACUAGAUUUCUGGGCAAGCAAGAGGAUAGAAAAGCCACCAUAAACUGGGAACGACUAGCCAUUCCGACCGUUGAUCCACAAGGUUUAGACUCGCUGUUCUCCAUGGCUGAGGUUUGGGCAGCCAUUGUUUCCUCCCUAACAGAAAAAGCUCCUGGUCCUGACGGGUUCACGGGACAAUUCUUUCGCUCCUGCUGGCACAUCAUUCAGGAUGACAUCAUGGCAGUGUUUAACAAGUUUCAUCAGGUGGCUGGGCAAAAUUUCAGGAUAUCAACACGGCCCUGA
This 492-nucleotide ribosomal RNA is filed under the name Triticum aestivum (bread wheat). RNAcentral describes it as "partial small subunit ribosomal RNA". Lineage: Eukaryota; Viridiplantae; Streptophyta; Magnoliopsida; Poales; Poaceae. The record is from RNAcentral.